Oncorhynchus nerka (sockeye salmon) is the source of this 3220-nucleotide long non-coding RNA. RefSeq lists it as uncharacterized. The transcript has 3 exons. The record is from RefSeq and is a predicted model, not a curated record. NCBI's taxonomy places the organism in Eukaryota, Metazoa, Chordata, Actinopteri, Salmoniformes, Salmonidae.
GCUUGAUUUACUGUAUUUUUACAGAUCGGGGUUGGACGGAUUACAAUACAAGUAAUUUAAUGUAAUCCAUUGGAUUACCUCGAAAUAAGUGUUAUUUUAUUUUUAACAUAUGCUGUUCCCAUCCAACACGAUGGAUUUUUAACCUAAACGGACAUGUAACGGAUACAAGAUAAAUCUGAUCAUCUCAUUAGUUAUGAUUAGAUGAUCAAUUGUGCGAUACUCUGCUUGUUGACAAGAGUUUCUUAAACUAUGGGUCGGGACCGAAAGUGGGCCCUGAGCAUGUGGGAGGUGGGUUGCAAGUUAUGAGUACAGCUACACACUGUUUCUUCAUAAUUUGGGUCAUUGGAGUACAAUUUAGGUCACGGGAGUAAGGCCAAUUUCUAAUUUGGAUCUUGAGCUGAAAAAGUUAAAGAACCCUUGAUGUAGAUUAUUCAAAGAGUUGGCAAAAACAAGUAGAUCUGUCAGCAAAGACAGAUUUUUGCGUACUUACAAGGCUCUGGUCACUUAUCAGUUGAUACCAGGCUUCUGAGAAGGAAGCUGUCUGUGGACGCUUAUCAGUUGAUACCAGGCAGCUGAGUAGGCAUUUGGUUUGGCAUGUGUGUCUUCCCAGUGUUUGGAAAGUAAACAGGAUGGAGCUGUGUUGAUUAAUUAAAAAUGACCUUUUGAUGUGAUGGUUCAUUUCUCAGUAAGUAGGGGUCAGACUUUUUUUGUUAAAAAUAAAAGUUUUGUGGAAAGCAACCAAGGAAAGCAACCAAGGAAAGCAACCAAGGAAAGCAACCAAGGAAAGCAACCAAGGAAAGCAACCAAGGAAAGCAACCAAUGAAAGCAACCAAUGAAAGCAACCAAUGAAAGCAUAUUUUUGGAGUUUGGGAUAUUUCAAAUAGACUAGAGCAGAUCAGUUCAUGUUCAGUAAGGGGUAUAUUUAAUCAGAUCCGGUUUAGCCGACAUCCACAUAGCAGUUGUUUUGAUGGUGUCAGAGGUGGAACUGCGUUAGAGCUGUCAAAUCCACAAGCAGCUCCUGGCAUUGUACACUGAGUGUACUAAAUAUUAGGAACACCUCCUUAUUGACUUGCAUCCCCUUUAACCCAGAGAACAGCCUCAAUUCCUCGGGGCAUGGACUCUACAAGGUGUCAAAAGCAUUCCACAUGGAUGCUGGCCCAUGCUGACUACAAUGCACAGUUGUGUCAAGUUGGCUGGAUGUCCUUUGGGUGGUGGACCAUUCUUGAUACACACAGGAAACUGUUGAGUGCGAAAAACCCAGCAGCUUUGCGGUUCUUGACACACUCAAAACGGUGCGCCUGGCACCUACUACCAUACCCUGUGCAAAGGCACUUAAAUCUUUUGUCUUGCCCAUUCACCCUCUGAAUGGCACACAUACACAAUCCAUGUCUCAAGCCUUAAACAUCUUUAACCUGUCUCCUCCCCUUCAUCCACACGGAUUGAUGUAGAUUUAACAGGUGACAUCAAUAAGAGAUCAUAGCUUUCACCUGGAUUCACUUGGUCAGUCUAUGUCAUGGAAAGAGCAAGUGCUCCUAAUGUUUUGUACACUCAGUGUGCCUAAUGCAGACAUUGCCAUUGGCUACACAGAUUUGCAUUAAGAGAUACCAUGCAGCCUUGUUUACACUUUCGAACCCAAGAAUGAUUAGGAUGAUAGGAUCCACAUGAUUUAUUUGAAUGAUUUUUCCAUUUGAGCGUCAUUUCUAUAUAGUCUAGACUUUCUCGUUCUGAACUUAUAACACAAGUGUGUGGCUUCGUGACAUUGAUGGCAAGAGCAGCCACUCACGGAUCUAACACAGUUCCAACACCACCAUCCGCUAUGCAGCUGUCUGCUGUCGCCUUAACACUUGAUCUGAUUGAAUCUAGGUCAAAACAUUUUGGGGAACUGAAAGGACAAUCUUCCAUUCCCACUGAAAGUCACCAAGGACGCUGUUGUUUCUAAACCACCAUGCCAUUUGGGUCCUGGUGGAAAGUAGUGCACUACGUAGGGAAUAAGGUGCUAUUUUGUCCCUGAUGUAGACAAAUGUGAUCGCUAUCAUGGGUUUGUCAUGAAAUAACCUCUACGCUCCUGUCCCCAAGGAUGGAAGAAGUUUAAGUCCAGUUUGUAUUACCUCUCUACUGAGAAGAAAUCCUGGACAGAGAGCAGGCAGGACUGUCUGGGACGAGGAGCACACCUGGUGAUCAUUAACAGCAAAGAGGAACAGGAAUUUAUCCAUGAAUGGAGUGGAUGCCUGGAAAUCUAUCUUGGUUUCCAUGACACCAAUACAGAGGGGGUUUGGGAGUGGAUUAACGAUGGCGCAUUAGACCAAUCAUCAGCUCCUGUCACUACGUAUUGGAGGGAUGGGGAACCAAACGAUGCAAAUCAGGGUGAAGACUGCGCUCAUCUCUCAAAGAUGGCAUCAGACCCACUAAAGAGUUGGAACGACGUACCAUGCACAAUGAAUAAGCACUGGAUGUGUGAGAAGACAACGUCCACAUUGUAAUUAUGUGUUUAGAGUUUUGAAACAUGAGACAUUUUGAUGAUCUGUUUUAGAUGUUUGUGUUAAACUCAUUCUUGUGAAAAUUUGGCAAAGUGAUUGGGGGAAAAAACAUAGGUAAAUUGACCCUUAUCUGAGCAUGGUGGGCUAACACACUCUGUGGUGGGCUAACACACUCUGUGGUGGGCUAACACACUCUGUGGUGGGCUAACACAGUCUGUUCUUGCACAUAUGACCCUGGUUCAAAACCCAGCCGGCUACAUAAACAGCCUAAAAUUCUCAUUUGGAUAUCCAAUGUGACUAGAUUAUGUUUUAUUUUGUAAUGAAAUCCCAACAUUAUAUUAUCAGAAACUGUUAUGGAUUUAAGUGGACUGGCGAAGCAGCUUAAGUAAUAGAAAUCCUGAUGUAUUAGCAAAGAAACGUAACAGCUUAUUAUUUAACAGUACAAAGUUAGUAUAAACCAUGUAUGCUGUAUUGGUAAUAUAAUGGCUCAGUAUAGACCAUGUAUGCUGUCCUGGUAAUAUAAUGGCUCAGUAUAGACCAUGUAUGCUGUAUUGGUAAUAUAAUGGGGCACUAUAGACCAUGUAUGCUGUACUGGUAAUAUAAUGGCUCAGUAUAGACCAUGUAUGCUGUAACUGGUAAUAUAAUGGGGCACUAUAGACCAUGUAUGCUGUACUGGUAAUAUAAUGGCUCAGUAUAGACCAUGUAUGCUGUAUUGGUAAUAUAAUGGGGCACUAUAGACCAUG